Molecule: ribosomal RNA, 500 nt
Filed under: uncultured Myrionecta
Lineage: Eukaryota; Ciliophora; Litostomatea; Cyclotrichida; Mesodiniidae
Description: bacterial SSU rRNA
Rfam family: Eukaryotic small subunit ribosomal RNA
Source: RNAcentral
AAACUUACCAGGUCAAGACAUGGGCGUGAUUGACAGGCUAAUGACUUUUCUCGAUUCCAUGGAUGGUGGUGCAUGGUCGCACUUAGUUGGUGCAGUGAUUUGUCAGGUUUAUUCCGGUAACGAACGAGACCUCGGCCUUGUAAAUAGCUAUGCUGCUUACAGGGACAUUGGCGGCUACGCCAAGGAAGCUCGAGGCAAUUGCAGAUCUGGAAUGCCCUUAGAUGUCCUGGGUCGCACGCGUGCUACAAUGACGCCACGAACGAGCUUGCGUGAUGAAAGUUACGCAUAAUCAGCAGUCGGCGUCUUAAGGGAUAGUCUCUUGUAACUGUGGGACUCCAACUAGGAAUGUCUCGUAAGCACAAGUCAACAUCUUGUGUUGAUUACGUCCCUGCUCUUUGUACACACCGCCCGUCGCUCCUACCGAUCGAGUGUUUAGGUGAAUUUGAUGGACGUAAGGAAGUCAAAUAAACCUGAGCACUAGAGAAGAGAAGUCGAGCAUG